This 72-nucleotide transfer RNA is filed under the name Rivularia sp. PCC 7116. RNAcentral describes it as "tRNA-Und (NNN) (tRNA-Und-NNN-1-1)". It matches the Rfam family "tRNA". From Rfam's summary of the family: Transfer RNA (tRNA) molecules are approximately 80 nucleotides in length. Their secondary structure includes four short double-helical elements and three loops (D, anti-codon, and T loops). Further hydrogen bonds mediate the characteristic L-shaped molecular structure. tRNAs have two regions of fundamental functional importance: the anti-codon, which is responsible for specific mRNA codon recognition, and the 3' end, to which the tRNAs corresponding amino acid is attached (by aminoacyl-tRNA synthetases). tRNAs cope with the degeneracy of the genetic code in two manners: having more than one tRNA (with a specific anti-codon) for a particular amino acid; and 'wobble' base-pairing, i.e. permitting non-standard base-pairing at the 3rd anti-codon position. The record is from Rfam by way of RNAcentral. Lineage: Bacteria; Bacillati; Cyanobacteriota; Cyanophyceae; Nostocales; Rivulariaceae.
GGAUUGUUAGCUCAGUAGGAAGAGCGUCCGCCUUUAAGCGGAAGGUCGCAGGUUCAAUUCCUGCACAAUCCA